This 253-nucleotide ribosomal RNA is filed under the name uncultured bacterium. Its description in RNAcentral is "partial 16S ribosomal RNA". It matches the Rfam family "Bacterial small subunit ribosomal RNA", at positions 524 to 776 of the family's 1533-position model. The record is from RNAcentral.
UACAGAGGUCCCGAGCGUUGUUCGGAUUCAUUGGGCGUAAAGGGUGCGUAGGCGGCGGGGCAAGUCUGAUGUGAAAUCCUGGGGCUCAACCUCAGAACUGCAUUGGAUACUGCCUUGCCAGAGUACUGGAGAGGGAACUGGAAUUUACGGUGUAGCAGUGAAAUGCGUAGAGAUCGUAAGGAAGGCCAGUGGCGAAGGCGAGUUCCUGGACCGGUUCUGACGCUGAGGCGCGAAAGCGUGGGUAGCAAACAGG